This 23-nucleotide non-coding RNA is filed under the name Arabidopsis thaliana (thale cress). Lineage: Eukaryota; Viridiplantae; Streptophyta; Magnoliopsida; Brassicales; Brassicaceae. The record is from RNAcentral.
UAUCAGUAUGGGCCUAACUCACA